UACAGAGGGUGCGAGCGUUAAUCGGAAUUACUGGGCGUAAAGGGCGCGUAGGCGGUUAGGAAGGUGUGAUGUGAAAGCCCUGGGCUUAACCUAGGAAGUGCAUCGCAAACCAACUAGCUGGAGUAUAAGAGAGGGUGGCGGAAUUUCCGGUGUAGCGGUGAAAUGCGUAGAGAUCGGAAGGAACGUCAAUGGCGAAGGCAGCCACCUGGCUUAAUACUGACGCUGAAGCGCGAAAGCGUGGGGAGCGAACAGG
RNAcentral lists this ribosomal RNA (253 nucleotides) under uncultured prokaryote. RNAcentral describes it as "partial 16S ribosomal RNA". It matches the Rfam family "Bacterial small subunit ribosomal RNA", at positions 524 to 776 of the family's 1533-position model. The record is from RNAcentral.